Molecule: RNA transcript, 1586 nt
Organism: Glycine soja
Lineage: Eukaryota; Viridiplantae; Streptophyta; Magnoliopsida; Fabales; Fabaceae
Gene name: protein THYLAKOID FORMATION1, chloroplastic-like
Exons: 6
Source: RefSeq, a predicted model, not a curated record
CUUUGUUUCUGCAGCAAUUCACAAAAGCCUCUCACUCUCACUUUCCGUGACCCAAAGCAAUGCUGCAGAUGCAUCUCUGCCUCUGAAUAUAUAAAUUUUCUUUUCACUGCUAUGCCGCAAAACUUCUGAUCCCACCGGCCACCACUCUCUCUCUCUCUCUCUCUAUAUAUAUAUAUAUAUAUAUCCCAUGGCUACUGUUAUUUCUUCUUUCUCUUUCUCCACUCUCACUCAAUCUUCUUCGCAGAGGAACCUCACCACACUCUCUUCCAAUUCACCAACCUUUCGCUUCCGCGUUGGUUUCUCCUGCCUCAAUGUUGGAGUUCGAGCUUCCAAUUCCGCUUCCAAAAUGGUCGUUCGUUGCUCCUCUUCCGUCGCAGAACCUCCAACUGUUUCUGAGACAAAGUUAAAUUUUCUCAAGGCAUAUAAGCGACCAAUUCCUAGUAUCUACAACACCGUGCUGCAGGAGCUCAUUGUCCAGCAACAUUUAAUGAGAUACAAGAGAUCGUAUCGCUAUGACGCUGUAUUUGCCCUUGGCUUCGUCACUGUAUAUGAGCAACUCAUGGAAGGGUAUCCAAGUGAUGAGGACCGAGAUGCCAUCUUCCAAGCAUACAUUCAGGCAUUGAAAGAAGAUCCUGAACAAUACAGAGUAGAUGCAAAGAAAUUAGAAGAGUGGGCUCGGUCUCAAAACCCAAAUUCGCUAUUAGAAUUUUCAUCUAGAGAAGGAGAAGUUGAGGGUAUAUUAAAGGAUAUUGCAGAAAGAGCAGGAGGAAAGGGGGACUUCAGUUAUAGCCGUUUCUUUGCAAUAGGCCUCUUUCGUCUUCUUGAGUUAGCAAAUGCAAUGGAACCAACAAUUUUGGAAAAGAUAAAACUAACAAUAUUAAGCAUAGGAGAUGAUACGACAAUGGCAUUGUGGAGGAUGCAUUUAAUAUCAUGAUUCUCUGUGCGGUUUUGAAUGUCAACAAAAGAAGUGUGGAUCGGGACUUGGAUGUGUAUCGUAACUUGCUUUCCAAAUUGGUUCAAGCUAAAGAGCUUCUAAAGGAAUAUGUUGACAGGGAGAAGAAGAAAAGAGAAGAAAGGGCUGAACCACAAAAGUCUAAUGAGGCCAUUACACAACAACAACAGUUUUCUAGCCUUUAGUUAUGGGGUUCCUUUGGAAUGAUCACCUUGUGAAGAUUUGGUCUUGACUUGCUUUUUUUUUUCUGUUGGUCUUUGGCAUGGUAAUCAGAGUGGGGCACUUCUAUCAUCAUGGUUUUGCCUACUGUACUUGGUGCACUUCUUUCAUGGUGAUCCAGCUAAAUCCUGCUUUAUGCUCAACCACAAUUUACCUGUCCAACACAGUCUUGUGUAAUCUUUUCUUACAUGUAUUUUUUUUUUUCCAUCACACGGUCGAAGAUGUAUUUUUUAGUUCUCAAAUACAUGCCCGAAAGCAUAUGUUCUGGUAAUUGAAAUUCUUCAUAUUUCAGCAUCUCCCAUUUUCUGGGGUGGAUGUUUAGUUCACAUCCAUGUACAAAAUAAGGUUUCACAACCAGAAUAACAGUAUACAAAAGCAUUUUAGAUUCAUGAACAAGACUUUAUUUCCUUCUUAA